RNAcentral lists this ribosomal RNA (245 nucleotides) under uncultured Gardnerella sp. RNAcentral's name for it is "partial 16S ribosomal RNA". It matches the Rfam family "Bacterial small subunit ribosomal RNA", at positions 109 to 355 of the family's 1533-position model. The record is from RNAcentral. Lineage: Bacteria; Bacillati; Actinomycetota; Actinomycetes; Bifidobacteriales; Bifidobacteriaceae.
AGUAAUGCGUGACCAACCUGCCCCAUGCUCCAGAAUAGCUCUUGGAAACGGGUGGUAAUGCUGGAUGCUCCAACUUGACGCAUGUCUUGUUGGGAAAGUGUUUAGUGGCAUGGGAUGGGGUCGCGUCCUAUCAGCUUGUAGGCGGGGUAAUGGCCCACCUAGGCUUCGACGGGUAGCCGGCCUGAGAGGGCGGACGGCCACAUUGGGACUGAGAUACGGCCCAGAUUCCUACGGAGGCAGCAGCU